AACUAAAACAGGUCAUACAUGUAACAAUUAAAUACACAGACAUAUUUUUAAGUUUCAAACUGAGCCUGUGAAAUUACACAGCGAGACCCAGUAUUCCACCUUUCUUGGAAACCAGCUACUGUAAUUAGAGCAAAGUAAUUACUUGAGCUCAAACCUCCUUUUUUUCUUGCUGAUUACAUGACCUUCACGGUCACAUUAAGUUAGCCCAAACAAACCCAGUCUCUGGCUCCCUGUGUAAAAGGAACAAAUGAACUGCGGACUGCAAAGAGUUUUCAAAGUCAAACCACCACCUGAAUUUCGAUGCACCUUGGGCCCAGUCUGAAGUCAUAAUAAGCACUAGGAUUGCAUGAUAAUUGCUACAGCUAAUUAGCCUCUCGUGGCAACCAGCAGGAUUUCCAAACAGGGGAAAAAUCUAUGCAAUAUGUACAGGAUUCAGCUCACUGAAGACUUUAUUAUGAAACAUUGGUUGAAUGCUGGGAGUGCUUGUCAGACCAAGAGGAUCACGGCUGAGUCUCCUGCGGUCUUCCGCAGCCAUACUGAUAACUCUCCAGACUAGAAGAAAACUGAGCAAUCAUAUUCUGCUGAGACAUUUGGCUUACCACUGUAGUUCUGCUUCACUGAAGAACCCGGUGACGGAAGAUUGUGAACAUUGAAGGUCUUGCUCGCUCUGAAUCUAAAAGAAAAGAGCAAGACAUUCGUACUGUAGAUUCCAGAAAUCCACUCCUGCGUUGCUGUUUUAUUCACACCUUUGAACCACAGAGAUUCACAGGAUUGUAAGUACAGGACAAGUUGACCCAGAGUCAAUUUUAUUUAUUUAUUUAUUUUUUAAAUAGUUAAAAUAUUUAAGAAAAAAAAUAAAUCCUAAAGAUGAUUCUUCAUGUAAAUUCCUUCAUGACACAGCACAAGCAACAAAUGAUCAAAAGCAUCUUUUCUAUUUUACAAGUUAUUUUUAUAACCUACCCACAAUGAGCAGCACUACAUUUUCUUUGCUUAUUCAUUUUUAUUCCUGUGCCGUUGCACUGGGUACCCCUGUGCACAAUAACAUCUUAAUGGAUUCCUGGAAUAAUAAACCUCAAACAUGAUCACUGACUGAUUGUGAAAGUUGAGAAACGUUAGAAGAUGUUGUAUGACAGAUCCUUCAAGCUCUACAAGGAAAACCAUAAAUGUAUGAAGCCUUGCAUAUACAAGAUAUGUGACAUUUUAUGUUUAAUUAUGUAAUAGAUUUUUUAUUAUUAUUUUAUUUUAUGAUGACUAUGAUCUUCCUGGCACCAGAAUGGGUCACUGUUACAUAAACGGCUCAGACGCAAGGCUGCAGAUCAAAUUCUCCUAUGUUAUGUUUUUCCCAUGUUCUUCAACUCUAUAGACCACUAAGACCUCCACUCUGCUCUGGUUCCAGCCUGUGACUCUUUCAUUGCCUAUUUUUGGGAAGCUUUUGUCACUCUUGACAGAGAUUAUGCAGAUGAGGCAGCCACACGCAUCCUGGAAUGGUUUAAACGGGUCGGUGUAAACAAAGAGUGGAGACGGCUUACAUGCUGACAGGAUGUGCCUCUCCAUCGCCACUUUCCCUCAGGGCUGCCGAUGAAGGGGCUGCAUCUCCUCAAUUCAGAGCUUGUUUCACAGCCAACGCAGCGUUGUAAGCUUUUCUCCACACCCACACACCUUUUUCAGCAGAAGAAGGGAUGGUUUUUAUAAGCGAUUAUAUAUGUACUCACUACGUAGUGCUUUUUAAAACCUCCACAUGGCUACUGUAAAAUCACUCAAAGGGUUGAAUAGGCUGAAGGCCUCAGCUGGAUUCAUUUCAAGCUGGUUUUGUUUAAAGAUCAUUCACUUCCUUCUUCGGAGAAUUCUGAGAGCAGGACAGAUCACCAUUGCGCACAAUUGCUAUGUUACUCUGCCUGUUCCUCUGCCUCAGAUUUUUAUUAUUUUCGAGUGGUAAAGCCCUCUUUUGUGUAAAUAGGAUCUUGAAAUAUUUACCGGUGGGUGAAGGCAAUAUCUCAAAAAUCAAAGAAUUUCAAGGUUCCGUCGUUUUUUGGCAUGCAUGAGACCUCAAUGUUAAUAUUUUCAUGUGUGGUCAAGGUUUGGCCGGUUGGCAUGGUUCCAUUAGCUUCUGCUGGUAGAUAAUACUUCACCAUCUGGUUCUAAAAAGCACCUGCCUUCCAUCGAUGGCCAUUCAAAUGUAUUUGAGUAUGUAUUUGAAUGUAUUCCUUUUUGUUAACAUGGAGCAGUUUUUUUUUUAUUUUAUAUAUAUCAUUUUUACCAGCUUCUUUUUCUCGAGGGUUACACAGAGAAUAUCUUCUGUCUUUAAUGUCAAAGCCCAGGAUAGUUGCUUACUGUUGGGCUUGUGACUGUGUUCUUGUGGAGCUGUCAAUUUCUUUCUUUUAACUUUUAUCUUUUAAAAGCUGAUAAGCCUAUAUGUUGUCCAAUCUAUAUUUGAGUGUAUAGUUUGUUGCCUUUUGUUAUCUGAAUUUAGAUUUGUUUGUUUUUUUGUUUGUUUUUUUCUUUCUGGGACCGUAGAAGAGUAGAGAUGCUGUCCUAGACAUUUUCUUACAACAGGUGUGCAUCUGUAAUUUUCACAGCUCAGAAGAAUUGAGUCAGUUUUCUGAAACUCAUUAAUUCUUUCACUUCAAAGACUGGUGAUUUUGAAGAGGAUCAAACAUGAAGGAUAUGUAUGAAGAAGGGGCUUGCUUUUCUAGGUCAAAGAACCUUUACAGCUCAGGUCUGCCCUGAGCUUGGAGGAGGUUUGCAUUCAAUGUGAUGCACAGACAAGACAUUCUCUGGUAUCUAUACAGAAGUCAUUCAGCCCAGUGAUUAGACUACAGCUAAGUGUAGCCUAAGGCAAACUUAGUGCAAUAUUCAUCAUAGCUAGAGGUUGUCUUUUUAUUACCUCUUCCUUGUAGUUGUGUAAACUGACUAAAAUUGACAACUCUCGUUGGUAUUGUUUUUUUGUUCAAACAAUUGCUUUCUCAUUCUGACUGCUUAUGAGAAACACAGAUCUAAAUAGAAGACACGAUUUGAAUGCAUAGUAACUAUUUUAAUGUGCAAAGUCUCUCCACCGUUGAAAUAUAUUUGGAUGUAAAUUCUUCUGCCUUAAUUAUCCAUUAUGUGAACCUGAACGUGUUUAAACCUGCUACAUAAAUUUCAAGAAUAUAAAGUAGAAAAAUAAAUAAAUCA
Onychostoma macrolepis is the source of this 3171-nucleotide long non-coding RNA. RefSeq lists it as uncharacterized. The record is from RefSeq and is a predicted model, not a curated record. The transcript has 3 exons. NCBI's taxonomy places the organism in Eukaryota, Metazoa, Chordata, Actinopteri, Cypriniformes, Cyprinidae.